AUACGUAGGUGGCAAGCGUUGUCCGGAUUUACUGGGUGUAAAGGGCGUGUAGGCGGAGAUGCAAGUCAGGAGUGAAAUCUAGGGGCUCAACCCCUAAACUGCUUUUGAAACUGUAUCCCUUGAGUAUCGGAGAGGCAGGCGGAAUUCCUAGUGUAGCGGUGAAAUGCGUAGAUAUUAGGAGGAACACCAGUGGCGAAGGCGGCCUGCUGGACGACAACUGACGCUGAGGCGCGAAAGCGUGGGGAGCAAACAGGGUUAGAUACCCUGGUAGUCCACGCUGUAAACGAUGAAUACUAGGUGUGGGGGGACUGACCCCCUCCGUGCCGCAGUUAACACAAUAAGUAUUCCACCUGGGGAGUACGAUCGCAAGAUUGAAACUCAAAGGAAUUGACGGGG
Molecule: ribosomal RNA, 396 nt
Filed under: uncultured bacterium
Lineage: Bacteria
Description: partial 16S ribosomal RNA
Rfam family: Bacterial small subunit ribosomal RNA
Source: RNAcentral